Molecule: ribosomal RNA, 229 nt
Filed under: uncultured bacterium
Lineage: Bacteria
Description: partial 16S ribosomal RNA
Rfam family: Bacterial small subunit ribosomal RNA
Source: RNAcentral
UGCGUAGGCGGAAUAAUAAGUCAGUGGUGAAAUCCUGCGGCUCAACCGUAGAACUGCCAUUGAAACUGUUAUUCUUGAAUGUAGUUGAGGUAGGCGGAAUGUGUAAUGUAGCGGUGAAAUGCUUAGAUAUUACACAGAACACCGAUUGCGAAGGCAGCUUACUAAACUAUGAUUGACGCUGAUGUACGAAAGCGUGGGGAGCGAACAGGAUUAGAUACCCUGGUAGUCC